RNAcentral lists this ribosomal RNA (440 nucleotides) under uncultured bacterium. RNAcentral's name for it is "bacterial SSU rRNA". It matches the Rfam family "Bacterial small subunit ribosomal RNA", at positions 958 to 1397 of the family's 1533-position model. The record is from RNAcentral.
AACGCGAAGAACCUUACCUACCCUUGACAUCCCACGGAGGCUGCAGAGAUGUGGCUGUGCCGAAAGGAACGUGGAGACAGGUGCUGCAUGGCUGUCGUCAGCUCGUGUUGUGAGAUGUUGGGUUAAGUCCCGUAACGAGCGCAACCCUUAUCCUUAGUUACCAACAUGUAAUGGUGGGGACUCUAAGGAGACUGCUGGUGAAGAACCGGAGGAAGGCGGGGACGACGUCAAGUCAUCAUGGCCUUUAUGGGUAGGGCUACACACGUGCUACAAUGGGGCGCACAGAGGGAAGCCAACUCGCGAGAGGGAGCCGAUCCCUGAAAGCGCUUCGUAGUCCGGAUUGGAGUCUGCAACUCGACUCCAUGAAGAUGGAAUCGCUAGUAAUCGCGAAUCAGAAUGUCGCGGUGAAUACGUUCCCGGGCCUUGUACACACCGCAUAC